Long non-coding RNA from Melitaea cinxia (Glanville fritillary), 99 nucleotides. RefSeq lists it as uncharacterized. Lineage: Eukaryota; Metazoa; Arthropoda; Insecta; Lepidoptera; Nymphalidae. The transcript has 2 exons. The record is from RefSeq and is a predicted model, not a curated record.
CGGAUUUUCGAGAGUUUCCCUCGAUUCCUCUGGGAUCCCAUCAUCAGAUCCUAAUCCUGGUUUCCUUAUCAUGGUACCACACUUGUAUCUCCUUUCCAA